RNAcentral lists this ribosomal RNA (155 nucleotides) under Silene multinervia. RNAcentral's name for it is "5.8S ribosomal RNA". It matches the Rfam family "5.8S ribosomal RNA". Rfam says of the family: 5.8S ribosomal RNA (5.8S rRNA) is a component of the large subunit of the eukaryotic ribosome. It is transcribed by RNA polymerase I as part of the 45S precursor that also contains 18S and 28S rRNA. Lineage: Eukaryota; Viridiplantae; Streptophyta; Magnoliopsida; Caryophyllales; Caryophyllaceae. The record is from RNAcentral.
AACGACUCUCGGCAACGGAUAUCUCGGCUCUCGCAUCGAUGAAGAACGUAGCGAAAUGCGAUACUUGGUGUGAAUUGCAGAAUCCCGUGAACCAUCGAGUUUUUGAACGCAAGUUGCGCCCGAGGCUUUUGGCUGAGGGCACGUCUGCCUGGGCG